This 151-nucleotide ribosomal RNA is filed under the name Dothideales sp. S1-1.G5. Its description in RNAcentral is "5.8S ribosomal RNA". The stretch from base 1 to 91 matches the Rfam family "5.8S ribosomal RNA", at positions 64 to 154 of the family's 154-position model. Rfam says of the family: 5.8S ribosomal RNA (5.8S rRNA) is a component of the large subunit of the eukaryotic ribosome. It is transcribed by RNA polymerase I as part of the 45S precursor that also contains 18S and 28S rRNA. Lineage: Eukaryota; Fungi; Ascomycota; Dothideomycetes; Dothideales. The record is from RNAcentral.
AAUGUGAAUUGCAGAAUUCAGUGAAUCAUCGAAUCUUUGAACGCACAUUGCGCCCUCUGGUAUUCCGGAGGGCAUGCCCGUUCGAGCGUCAUUACACCACUCAAGCUUGGCUUGGUAUUGGGCGUCGCGUUUGCCGCGUGCCUUGAAGUCC